RNAcentral lists this transfer RNA (53 nucleotides) under Hebesoma violentum. Its description in RNAcentral is "tRNA-Phe". The record is from RNAcentral. Lineage: Eukaryota; Metazoa; Acanthocephala; Eoacanthocephala; Neoechinorhynchida; Neoechinorhynchidae.
UAAAGCUGUCUAGUGUGGCCUUGAAGUUGCCAAGGGUAUGUAGCGAUGUUUAA